ACAGGGAUUGCCUUAGUAACGGCGAGUGAAGCGGCAACAGCUCAAAUUUGAAAGCUGGCCCUUUUAGGGUCCGCAUUGUAAUUUGUAGAGGAUGAUUCGGCGAGGGCUCCUGCCUAAGUCCCCUGGAACGGGGCGUCAUAGAGGGUGAGAAUCCCGUAUGCGGUAGGUUGCCUUAGCCAUGUGAAUCUCCUUCGACGAGUCGAGUUGUUUGGGAAUGCAGCUCUAAAUGGGAGGUAAAUUUCUUCUAAAGCUAAAUACCGGCCAGAGACCGAUAGCGCACAAGUAGAGUGAUCGAAAGAUGAAAAGCACUUUGGAAAGAGAGUUAAAAAGUACGUGAAAUUGUUGAAAGGGAAGCGCUUGCAACCAGACUUGUCCGCAGUUGCUCAGCCGGUCUCCUGACCGGCGUACUCUUCUGCGGCCAGGCCAGCAUCAGUUCGGGCGGUCGGAUAAAGGCCUCGGGAAUGUGGCUCCUCUCGGGGAGUGUUAUAGCCCGGGGUGCAAUGCGGCCAGCCUGGACUGAGGAACUCGCUUCGGCAAGGAUGCUGGCGUAAUGGUUGUAAGCGGCCCGUCUUGAAACACGGACCAAGGAGUCUAACAUCUAUGCGAGUGUUCGGGUGUCAAACCCGUACGCGUAAUGAAAGUGAACGGAGGUGGGAACCCGCAAGGGUGCACCAUCGGCCGAUCCUGAUGUCUUCGGAUGGAUUUGAGCAAGAGCAUAGCUGUUGGGACCCGAAAGAUGGUGAACUAUGCCUGAAUAGGGUGAAGCCAGAGGAAACUCUGGUGGAGGCUCGCAGCGGUUCUGACGUGCAAAUCGAUCGUC
Molecule: ribosomal RNA, 820 nt
Filed under: Lasiodiplodia theobromae
Lineage: Eukaryota; Fungi; Ascomycota; Dothideomycetes; Botryosphaeriales; Botryosphaeriaceae
Description: partial large subunit ribosomal RNA
Rfam family: Eukaryotic large subunit ribosomal RNA
Source: RNAcentral